Molecule: ribosomal RNA, 499 nt
Filed under: uncultured bacterium
Lineage: Bacteria
Description: partial 16S ribosomal RNA
Rfam family: Bacterial small subunit ribosomal RNA
Source: RNAcentral
ACUCAAAUGAAUUGACGGGGGCCCGCACAAGCGGUGGAGCAUGUGGUUUAAUUCGACGCAACGCGCAGAACCUUACCAGCCCUUGACAUGUCCAGGACCGGUCGCAGAGAUGUGACCUUCUCUUCGGAGCCUGGAACACAGGUGCUGCAUGGCUGUCGUCAGCUCGUGUCGUGAGAUGUUGGGUUAAGUCCCGCAACGAGCGCAACCCCCGUCCUUAGUUGCUACCAUUUAGUUGAGCACUCUAAGGAGACUGCCGGUGAUAAGCCGCGAGGAAGGUGGGGAUGACGUCAAGUCCUCAUGGCCCUUACGGGCUGGGCUACACACGUGCUACAAUGGCGGUGACAAUGGGACGCUAAGGGGCAACCCUUCGCAAAUCUCAAAAAGCCGUCUCAGUUCGGAUUGGGCUCUGCAACUCGAGCCCAUGAAGUUGGAAUCGCUAGUAAUCGUGGAUCAGCAUGCCACGGUGAAUACGUUCCCGGGCCUUGUACACACCGCCCGU